UACGUAGGGUGCAAGCGUUGUCCGGAAUUAUUGGGCGUAAAGAGCUCGUAGGCGGUUUGUCGCGUCUGCUGUGAAAACCCGAGGCUCAACCUCGGGCCUGCAGUGGGUACGGGCAAACUAGAGUGCGGUAGGGGAGAAUGGAAUUCCUGGUGUAGCGGUGGAAUGCGCAGAUAUCAGGAGGAACACCGAUGGCGAAGGCAGUUCUCUGGGCCGUAACUGACGCUGAGGAGCGAAAGCGUGGGGAG
Molecule: ribosomal RNA, 245 nt
Filed under: uncultured Leifsonia sp.
Lineage: Bacteria; Bacillati; Actinomycetota; Actinomycetes; Micrococcales; Microbacteriaceae
Description: partial 16S ribosomal RNA
Rfam family: Bacterial small subunit ribosomal RNA
Source: RNAcentral